UUCUCCUAACAUUGUCAAUCUGAGAUAGCUUUCCUAACAUUUCUGGAAAACUCAACUAAUUUACGCGUUGGAGUUAAACUGAAGGCUGGCAAUAGAACUGCUUGUGGUUUGUUGCUUGAGCACUGAUAGUGAUCAUUUCCUGUCCCUCCAGGCCCAGCCCAGGUCCUCAGAAUUUAUAAACAAAGCUCUUGCAAUGAGGACUAAACUGCUUCAGUCAGGCAGAGGCAGCAAGAUGGUGUCAGAGACCCAAGUCCUCAUGUCUCUGCUGCUCUGGGUGUCUGAUCUCGGUGGAACAUCCAAUUGCCACGCCUGCAUGGCACAAAGCUGAUCUCUGAGCAGAGGACGUCAGGAUUGAAGAGACUAUCACACCUUUUGUGUAGCAGAAGAAGCCUUUAUUUCUCAGCCCCAGGUUGCUUUUAUACCCUAGCCCAGAAGGCACCUGACCCAAUGGGGGCGGGGGAGCUGUCGCAUGACCGCAGGGUCAGUGCCAGGUCAUGGUGUUCUCAGGACCUGAUGCCGGAAAAUGAGCUG
Molecule: long non-coding RNA, 531 nt
Organism: Nannospalax galili (Upper Galilee mountains blind mole rat)
Lineage: Eukaryota; Metazoa; Chordata; Mammalia; Rodentia; Spalacidae
Exons: 3
Source: RefSeq, a predicted model, not a curated record